GCCCCAGCAGCCCCCGGCCCGCCGGGACACACCGCCUGCCCGCCGCGGGGUUCCAUGGGACGGACAGGCCGACCUCCCCAUAGCCAACCCCGCCUGGGCGCGGCUACCGACCACCACCUUUACAGGACCGGCCGAUUAAAACCGUACGCCGGCCGCUGGGAUUCAAGGCCGCAAGGACCGCCAUGUGAGGCACCGCGGGGACAGGGCCUCGGGGCGGGCUUCUCCCGGGCCGCCGCUAUGAGGGGAGGCGGCGAGGGAGCUCCGCGCUGCUUUGCCGCGACCGCCUGCAAAGCACCAAGGCUUGGGGUUGGAAAGACUACUUUGAUACAGAAAGUCACUCAAGCUCUGAAAUCCUCAGGCAUUUCCAUUGAUGGAUUCUACACAGAGGAGGUUAGAGAAGGUGGCAGGAGAACAGGAUUUGAUGUUGUCACUUUGUCUGGAAAACGAGGACCUUUAUCUAGAGUCAGUUCUGGUUCUUCUACUUCAAGACGUGAAUAUCGAGUUGGACAGUAUGUUGUAGACCUUGUUUCAUUUGAGCAGCUGGUUCUACCUAUGCUGAGAAAUGUAAGCCAUGGCAGUGAUGCAGAGAAAACAGUUUGUGUCAUAGAUGAGGUUGGGAAAAUGGAACUCUUCAGCCAGGCUUUUAUUCAAGCUGUUCGUCAAACACUGACUGGCUCAGGGACUGUGGUGCUUGGAACUAUUCCAAUACCUAAGGGAAAGCCACUGGAUCUUGUUGAAGAAAUAAGAAGUAGGAAAGAUGUUAAAGUGUUCAAUGUCAGUAAGGAAAACAGAAACAGCAUUUUGCAAGACAUCUUGGCAGCUGUGGAAUCCUGCAGAAAAUGAAGUCCUUGCCUGUAAACACUGAAGCUUUUAUUUUUACAAAACAUUACAACAUUUUGCAGAUGUUUUAGAAUCUGUCCUUCCUGCUUUAGUCCCUGGAGGCUUUACUGGAGCCUUCAGAAUAAGCAAGUGUUUUAAAAAAGCUGUGAUGACAUUGCAGAGAUUCCUACGAACUUAAUUGUUUCAGAAUGUCAUUCAUGGUUAUUGAGGUGAUCUGGCCGUCUUGUCAAGGGGAAAAAAAAGACUCACUUUACUCACUCACAAAAAGAAGUUUGCAUGGAAGGAAACUGCAGGAAACAGCAGGACCUCCAGCGUUUGUACUUCGGAAUGAACAGAAACAGUCUUUGUACAUUGUGCCCAUCGCUGUUUCCUACUUGUGGUGGGAAAGAGCCGGGCUGAAGGCCAGGCCAGGGACUUGCCAGCGUACCUGGGGGAUGUGAGUUCAGCGGUCUGUGGUUUGCUUUGGAAAAAUGUUACUAAAAACCUUUUUACCAGAUCUUUGGGCCAUGAUUCACCCUUAGGAGUAUAGCACCUGGCUUUUGAGUUAUGAUGUAAACAAGAGCUUAGUAGUGAAAGGAAAGUUCAGGAAAACAAAAUAGGAGGGGGUCAGUGUCCCACAUGCAACGAAAGGGCUUAAGUACUGUGUUUGUGCUACUGUUCUGUUCCUCUCUGUGAGGGCCCCACUGAGCCAGUGUGGAUAAAAAUCACUCACAAUGUUUCUUUUCAGCAAAGGUGAUGUUACCUGGAUUAAGCUCUGUCCCUUCUGCCAUUUCUAUGGAAGAGCCUCAUGUACUCUUGUGGAUUGAGUUUUUGGCUUCCUCAAAGGACACGUUCAGCCUUCCAGCAAGAUGGGAACGUCACGGCUUUCAGGUUGUAGAAACAAGGAGGUUCUGGGCUGGUUGAACAAGCAUCUGGCAGGCUUCUGCCUUUACCCCUUGCUGAGUAAGUGGCCUCUGUGGGUCUGGAAAAAUCCCCGAAAUCUUCAAAACUGACACAAAAUGAAACUGUGUGUAAAAGGUACUUGUGUCGUUGGGAGUGGCCGUUCUUCCUGCAUCACAGCUACGGUAAGAAAUCAGACCUGUAAUGCAUGCAGACUGUUCAGCCUGAGGAGCUUCUGGGCCAAGUUCUAACAACUGCGUUACACGCAGUGAAACCUGCCAUCAGUGCUGCAACUGACUUAAAAGCAGAGCUUUUCAUUUAAAGCCCAAAACUGCCCAACAGGUGGGGUUCCUGAGGUGUCACAGGUACCUCCAUCUUGCAACUCUGAAGCAUUUCAUGUAUAAGGUUAAGUAUCAGGCUGCUUAGGUCUCUCUGGAAUAAAAGUAUGGGUAAGAUCAUACGCCGAGAACAGCACCCUAUGGACUCAGGUGCCUUUUGGUGCUACGCAGAGCUGUUCUGUGCAGCUUACUGUUGAAAUUAGGCCUCCUGUAAAGUCUUAGUACCUGUUCGUUAGCUUUGUGUGUACCAGAGCCUUAAAUGCAUCUUCAUCAGGUAGAAAGUAAUUGGGUCUGUCUCUACCUCAUGCAAACAUGGUGGAAUCUAAGAUGAUGUUUAAUCAGUACAAUGUCAUACCUAGUUCCACGUUUUAUUUCUAACCAUCAUGUCUUAUUAUUCUGUAGGUUUAGUAUGCUUGAGUUGGAUACAUAGAAUAUUUUAGGUUAAUUAGGACUACUGGAGUUACUUAUUUUUGAUGGAAAUUAAUUAAAACUUAAGCUAUUGUAGUAGACUGCCAUGGAAAAGCCCAGAGUGCAGAAACGGGGCUGGUGGCUGUCACUAAGAGCUCUCCACCCACCUGUGUAACCUCCAUCCGUCAUGUGUAAUGAAGCACCUCAUGAGCAGGGUAGGGGGAAGAAAGGCACCAUCUGCCAGAAAUGGUCGGAAGGGAGCAGCUGAAUUCAAUUUUCUCUUCUACAUCACACCUGGGUGCUGGAGGAGACAUUAGCAAGGCCUAAACCAUGCUGGUGACUGUGUGUCGGGGUCUGUACAUUAAUAAUCUGCUUCUGCCCUUGCGAACAUGAGCAGAAUUUUGCCUAGGCUGUGUUGGGCUUUAUAAAUAAUCAAUUCAUUAAUAUCUGAACUGAAGGAAAAACAAUAGAUUUCUUAAUUUCAGAAGGCAGAAAGCAAAUGAAAACAAUUCAGAACGAAAACCCAAAAACUGCUGCCACACAAAAGGUACUUGGAUCAUUUUAUUUUCACUAGGUGUUAUUUAGUUCUACUACUUAAGUGUGGCACAGUAGGAAGCUCAGAAUGCAACUGUGUAUCACCUAACAGAAUGAGACUUAGCUACAGCAGCUCUUGUUAAAUCUGUCUUGUUAAUUGGGACAAGAUGGCCUGGCUGCACAUCAUUGUGUUGAGAAUUAGAAACAACCUAUGGUAGUUACAGUAAAGAGGAACAGCAAGACACUGAUAGCUGCAAUUUUUUUAAUUAAAAAAAAAAAAACAACAAAAAUGAGCACACGUGCGUGCUAAGGAAAAAUUCGUUGUAGCCUUUUGGCUUCCAUAGUAGUCAUGCAUUCCUGUAAAUCAGUGUUUCUCAAACUUUGUGAAGGCGCAGCCUCCCUUGUUUGCCUCAUCUGUCUUUAUGCAACUAUUAAAUUGGCAGCAGCUCAGUUUCUCUGGGGGAGGGAAAUCAGAAGGCUCUGUAAUUACUGGCUACAAGUGUUUAUGGACACUGAGCUGUGUCCAGCAAUUAAAGGCAUUUAGCUGUUCCCUUCCUAAUACAAACACUUCCAGACGAUAAUUACAGCCUGCUUUGCACUUUCCUGUUCUUGAGGAGGAUUCCCCUGGGUGCUUCGGCAACUCCCAAGGGGGCUGUUGCCUGGAAUUUGAAAAACACUGGUGUAAACCAAACAGGAGCACGAGAUAAUACCUAAGAGCAGCUGUUUAUGUAAAGCUGCUUUCUUUGCAAAUGAGGUGCACCAUAUGCUUUGAAGGCUUUCCAUGCACUGGAUACUUUCUUUUCUCACGCUUGACUUUUGUUAAACUGUGUAGCGUGGCUCAAUCACGUAAUAUUUCAAUAUGGCUGCAUGCAGUAUAUCAAUCUGUGAUGGUAUGUUGCUAUUCAGAAUUACCACCUGCAUAACAUGUUAAAUAGAAAUAAAAAAUAUUUGCUUUGGAAAAAAA
This is an RNA transcript of Columba livia (rock pigeon), 3963 nucleotides long. It is a transcript of the gene named nucleoside-triphosphatase, cancer-related, with no coding region annotated. The transcript has 7 exons. Lineage: Eukaryota; Metazoa; Chordata; Aves; Columbiformes; Columbidae. The record is from RefSeq and is a predicted model, not a curated record.